Molecule: long non-coding RNA, 748 nt
Organism: Rhagoletis zephyria (snowberry fruit fly)
Lineage: Eukaryota; Metazoa; Arthropoda; Insecta; Diptera; Tephritidae
Source: RefSeq, a predicted model, not a curated record
GUUACUUUGUCGCGCCCCUCCGCCGACGAAAUAACCAACACAUGGCGGAAAACACGAACUGCCAGAUGUGCACAAGCCAACGAACAUGAAUAUACAGCUGCUGGCCGCGCAGCACCAACACCAUCCAACAAGAAGAAACAGCGAAGAGGCAGCAAAAAUAGCAGAGACAGUGGACAGUGGCGCAGCAGCGCGAAACAAGUGAGGUAAAACAAGUUUUCGAUGGAGAAAUGUAUGUCAAAACUAGAGUCAGUCGCUCUGAAAACGUCAUCGUGUUCGGACAAGGAAGCGCAUUUUUGACGGGUAGAAGAAUUUCAACGCGUUGCUGUGUUUUUUCGCUCUACACACACGUUCAAUUUAAGUUUGAUCUUAAUAAUUGAUUGCAAACAUUUGAGCGAAUGUGAGCUCUUGCAACUAGUUAAAGCAGCCGCGAGUGAAAUUAAAGAACGGGAGCAUAUUAAGUAACAUAAUCGUUGUACCAAAGUAAAGGUCUUAUUUUGAAGAGUGUGUACAAUUUAGGAAGUUGUAUGAAAUAAAUUUCUUAAAUAAUCGCAAAACUGUGAUUUAGUGAAGUGAUUAGUGAGUGAAUGUCGCUAAAGAAGAGCGAAUUAAAGAGCAAUAGAAAAAGCAUAACAACGAGCCUGAGAGCCGAGCAUCAGCCAAUUCGCAGCAGAAAAUAAACAAAACAAAGUGUAUGGAUAUUCAGAAAAAAGGCGAAAGUUCGAUUCUUGAAAAUAAUCACAAGGUAAAU